Molecule: ribosomal RNA, 337 nt
Filed under: uncultured Pseudomonadota bacterium
Lineage: Bacteria; Pseudomonadati; Pseudomonadota
Description: bacterial SSU rRNA
Rfam family: Bacterial small subunit ribosomal RNA
Source: RNAcentral
AACGAACGUUAGCGGCGCGCCUAACACAUGCAAGUCGCACGAGAAAGGGCUUCGGCCCCGGUAAAGUGGCGCACGGGUGAGUAACACGUAGGCAAUCUGCCCUUGAGUGGUGGAUAACCCUCCGAAAGGAGGGCUAAUACAGCAUGAGACCACGGUGUCCACGGAUGCUGCGGUCAAAGUAGGCCUUUCCACGGAAGCUUACGCUUGAGGAUGAGCCUGCGGCCCAUCAGCUUGUUGGUAAGGUAAUGGCUUACCAAGGCUAAGACGGGUAGCUGGUCUGAGAGGAUGAACAGCCACACUGGAACUGAGACACGGUCCAGACUCCUACGGGAGGCAG